RNAcentral lists this ribosomal RNA (325 nucleotides) under uncultured eukaryote. Its description in RNAcentral is "partial 18S ribosomal RNA". It matches the Rfam family "Eukaryotic small subunit ribosomal RNA", at positions 1470 to 1796 of the family's 1831-position model. The record is from RNAcentral.
CCCUUAGAUGUUCUGGGCUGCACGCGCGCUACACUGAAGCGUUCAACGAGUAUUCACCUUGCCCGGGAGGGUUGGGUAAUCUUUUGAAAACGCUUCGUGAUGGGGAUAGAUUAUUGCAAUUAUUAAUCUUCAACGAGGAAUUCCUAGUAAGCGCGAGUCAUCAGCUUGUGCUGAUUACGUCCCUGCCCUUUGUACACACCGCCCGUCGCUCCUACCGAUUGAGUGAUCCGGUGAGUAAUUCGGACUGCAGCACUGCUUGGUCUCCAGGCUUUGCAGCGGAAAGUUUAGUGAACCUUAUCACUUAGAGGAAGGAGAAGUCGUAACA